RNAcentral lists this unclassified non-coding RNA (348 nucleotides) under soil metagenome. RNAcentral describes it as "partial contains 5.8S ribosomal RNA, internal transcribed spacer 2, and large subunit ribosomal RNA". The stretch from base 1 to 120 matches the Rfam family "5.8S ribosomal RNA", at positions 35 to 154 of the family's 154-position model. The record is from RNAcentral.
GAUGAAGAACGCAGCAAAAUGCGAUAAGUAAUGUGAAUUGCAGAAUUCAGUGAAUCAUCGAAUCUUUGAACGCACAUUGCGCCCGCUGGUAUUCCGGCGGGCAUGCCUGUUCGAGCGUCAUUUCAACCCUCAAGCCCCCGGGUUUGGUGUUGGGGAUCGGCUCUGCCCUUCUGGGCGGUGCCGCCCCCGAAAUACAUUGGCGGUCUCGCUGCAGCCUCCAUUGCGUAGUAGCUAACACCUCGCAACUGGAACGCGGCGCGGCCAUGCCGUAAAACCCCAACUUCUGAAUGUUGACCUCGGAUCGGGUAGGAAUACCCGCUGAACUUAAGCAUAUCAAUAAGCGGAGGA